CGGUGUUGGGUAGAGUCAUAUGGAGUGAAAGAUGGGAAUUUCAUGUUGGAUUCUAUUCAUUCAAUUUUCCCUCUUUCAUUCCAUAUGUCAUCUAGCUAGCAUAUU
This 105-nucleotide microRNA precursor is filed under the name Medicago truncatula (barrel medic). RNAcentral describes it as "MIR1507 microRNA precursor family". It matches the Rfam family "MIR1507 microRNA precursor family". The record is from Rfam by way of RNAcentral. Lineage: Eukaryota; Viridiplantae; Streptophyta; Magnoliopsida; Fabales; Fabaceae.